AUGACAUUUGAAGUGCUGUUGUUAAGUAUCAGCAAGGUCAAGCUUCUUGAGCUUGCUACGGCUGACUUCGUCAAGAAGGGUGAUGAUGACCCAACUAACUGUGUGUUUUGGAAACUACAUACACAGGCUGAGGUUGUGUUCUUUAGGCGUAUUGAACAUCCGUUUCUUACUAUGCCUCGUGUUGCCGGCCUAGGGAGUGGAACUUCCCCAAGAUUUGAAUUCUCUCGGGAUCGUAAUACUGGUGCCCCCUGUAGAUCUAGGAGGUUCUUCUGCACGUGUGAGUGCUCCAGGUGGUGUGUCUUCUGA
This 306-nucleotide ribosomal RNA is filed under the name Triticum aestivum (bread wheat). RNAcentral's name for it is "partial small subunit ribosomal RNA". The record is from RNAcentral. Lineage: Eukaryota; Viridiplantae; Streptophyta; Magnoliopsida; Poales; Poaceae.